RNAcentral lists this unclassified non-coding RNA (310 nucleotides) under plant metagenome. Its description in RNAcentral is "partial contains 5.8S ribosomal RNA, internal transcribed spacer 2, and large subunit ribosomal RNA". The stretch from base 1 to 105 matches the Rfam family "5.8S ribosomal RNA", at positions 50 to 154 of the family's 154-position model. The record is from RNAcentral.
GAAAUGCGAUAAGUAGUGUGAAUUGCAGAAUUCAGUGAAUCAUCGAAUCUUUGAACGCACAUUGCGCCCCUUGGUAUUCCAUGGGGCAUGCCUGUUCGAGCGUCAUUUGUACCCUCAAGCUCUGCUUGGUGUUGGGUGUUUGUCCCCGUCUCCGCGCGUGGACUCGCCCCAAAGUGAUUGGCAGCCGGCGUACUGGUCCCGGAGCGCAGCACAUGUCGCGCAAACGAGUGCCUUGGUACGGCGGCGUCCAUAAGCCCCUCUCUCUCGCUCUUGACCUCGGAUCAGGUAGGGAUACCCGCUGAACUUAAGC